RNAcentral lists this long non-coding RNA (204 nucleotides) under Elaeis guineensis (African oil palm). RNAcentral describes it as "long non-coding RNA (EGUI_LNC042129)". The record is from RNAcentral. Lineage: Eukaryota; Viridiplantae; Streptophyta; Magnoliopsida; Arecales; Arecaceae.
CAUAAUUUUAGGAUAUGAUUUUAUACUUAACAGGCACUCUUAAUUUCAUUUAUGUUGUAUGUGUCCAUGAAUCAUCCAAGGGAUUAAAAAGAUGAAGACACAUAUUUUCAAAAAAUUAAAAAUUUGAGGCAUGUAUCAUUGAUGGUUAAUUCUUAAAUUACUUCUGAUCGUAGGAUUAUAAUGAGAACGAUGAUUUAUCUGAAC